This 66-nucleotide transfer RNA is filed under the name Paragnetina indentata. Its description in RNAcentral is "tRNA-Thr". It matches the Rfam family "tRNA". From Rfam's summary of the family: Transfer RNA (tRNA) molecules are approximately 80 nucleotides in length. Their secondary structure includes four short double-helical elements and three loops (D, anti-codon, and T loops). Lineage: Eukaryota; Metazoa; Arthropoda; Insecta; Plecoptera; Perlidae. The record is from RNAcentral.
GUUUUAGUAGUUUAAAUAAAACCCUGGUCUUGUAAACCAAAAAUAAGGAAACAACCUUCUAAAACU